GAUGAACGCUGGCGGCGUGCUUAACACAUGCCAGUCGAACGGAAAGGCCCAAGCUUGCUUGGGUACUCGAGUGGCGAACGGGUGAGUAACACGUGGGUGAUCUGCCCUGCACUUCGGGAUAAGCCUGGGAAACUGGGUCUAACACUGGAUAGGACCACUUCUUGGAUGUUGUGGUGGAAAGUUUUUUCGGUGUGGGAUGAGCUCGCGGCCUAUCAGCUUGUUGGUGGGGUAAUGGCCUACCAAGGCGUCGACGGGUAGCCGGCCUGAGAGGGUGUACGGCCACAUUGGGACUGAGAUACGGCCCAGACUCCUACGGGAGGCAGCAGUGGGGAAUAUUGCACAAUGGGCGCAAGCCUGAUGCAGCGACGCCGCGUGGGGGAUGACGGCCUUCGGGUUGUAAACUCCUUUCGCUAGGGACGAAGCGUUUUGUGACGGUACCUGGAGAAGAAGCACCGGCUAACUACGUG
This 467-nucleotide ribosomal RNA is filed under the name uncultured bacterium. RNAcentral's name for it is "partial 16S ribosomal RNA". It matches the Rfam family "Bacterial small subunit ribosomal RNA", at positions 28 to 507 of the family's 1533-position model. The record is from RNAcentral.